AACGAACGCUGGCGGCAUGCCUAACACAUGCAAGUCGAACGAGACCUUCGGGUCUAGUGGCGCACGGGUGCGUAACGCGUGGGAACCUGCCCUUAGGUUCGGAAUAACUCCCCGAAAGGGGUGCUAAUACCGGAUAAUGUCUUCGGACCAAAGAUUUAUCUCCUUUGGAUGGGCCCGCGUUGGAUUAGCUUGUUGGUAGGGUAAAAGCCUACCAAGGCGACGAUCGAUAGCUGGUCUGAGAGGAUGAUCAGCCACACUGGGACUGAGACACGGCCCAGACUCCUACGGGAAGCAGCAGUGGGGAAUAUUGGACAAUGGGCGAAAGCCUGAUCCAGCAAUGCCGCGUGAGUGAUGAAGGCCUUAGGGUUGUAAAGCUCUUUUACCCGGGAUGAUAAUGACAGUACCGGGAGAAUAAGCUCCGGCUAACUCCGUG
Molecule: ribosomal RNA, 433 nt
Filed under: uncultured bacterium
Lineage: Bacteria
Description: partial 16S ribosomal RNA
Rfam family: Bacterial small subunit ribosomal RNA
Source: RNAcentral